RNAcentral lists this ribosomal RNA (253 nucleotides) under uncultured bacterium. Its description in RNAcentral is "partial 16S ribosomal RNA". It matches the Rfam family "Bacterial small subunit ribosomal RNA", at positions 524 to 776 of the family's 1533-position model. The record is from RNAcentral.
UACGUAGGGUGCGAGCGUUAAUCGGAAUUACUGGGCGUAAAGGGUGCGUAGGCGGUUGUUUAAGUCUGUCGUGAAAUCCCCGGGCUCAACCUGGGAAUGGCGAUGGAUACUGGGCAGCUAGAGUGUGUCAGAGGAUGGUGGAAUUCCCGGUGUAGCGGUGAAAUGCGUAGAGAUCGGGAGGAACAUCAGUGGCGAAGGCGGCCAUCUGGGACAACACUGACGCUGAAGCACGAAAGCGUGGGGAGCAAACAGG